CCCCCCCCCCAAACCAAAAAAAAAAAAAACCCCUCUACAAAACAAAACGCCUCUCCUCAAACAUACAACUGCUGCAAGCCUGCAACACUCCCAACUCAGAGCCUCUCGAAUGCCCUCCUUCCUCCCAACUCUUCGACAGUGUAGAGUUCCUUUGAAUUAGCCUCUCGAUUCUCUUCCGUUCUCAGUCCAAAACAGAAUCCCAGGGAAGAAAUUGCCAAAGUCAUCCAUCCUAUUCACUACGUGUUGCAUAGGGCAAAGGCAGUUGAGGCAUCAAAGGUGUGAAGGUAUCAAGGAUUUCUACAAAGGAAAAAAAGGCUACCCAGGUAAGGUGUUUCAUAAAAUGCCCUCUCCAUUUUGAAUUUAAGUGACUUUGGGGAAAACAUAUGCAUCAUGAUUUGCGUUAUUCUCCUACGUGUGACCUUGUUUUUUGAAAAAGUAGUCAUAUUUCGGUUAGGAUUGUAUUUCCCAUAGGUGUCCUACUAAUACUUAAAUCCAUAACCAUAUGAUCCCACCACAGAAUAAUUUUCCCCCUCCCAAAAAGAACCAUGGCGUAAUUUUUUGGUAUGUCUAUACGUUUGUGCCCUGACUCUUCAUCAAACUAAAGUUCCACGCUUUAAAAUAAAUACAAGUUUUAACCUAUGCGUUUUUAAACCUUCAAUAUAGAACUCAUCACGAAUAAUAAUAGAAUUCGUGGUCGUUACAUUUUGGCACUCAACAUACUUCCAUUUGCGACUCGAUUAUAAAUGAGACAUGAAACUGGCAUUGAAGAUAAAGACACCCUGAAAACCUUGAAAUCACUAGCUAGACUAAGUUCGAUUACAGAUGACUAGAAGGUUGAGAAGAAGCCGUGUCUACUCCAGGCCGACCUUGGCAGGCACAUAUUUGUAGCAAAUGUGAAAACACUGGCAAACAAACUGGUUGUCAUCUUGGCAUUUCCCUAUCCUUCGGGGUGCAGCUUCUCGCAAAAUUGUUCACAAUUUGGUUGUUUGCAGGAGAACGGUGGCCGAGACCUCUUCUCAUGCUUACAUAUAUGUCAUGCCCUCGAUUUUUAACUAAAAUAAUAAUAUAUUUUCUACAAACAAAAGUCUUUCUCUCAAUUAUAUUUACCCUUGAAUGUCGUGUAAAUCCAAACAGCAAAUCAAGUCGCUUCUUCUUCUCUCUAAUUUUUUUUUUUUUUUUUUUUACAUAAAGUCUCCCAAACAUUAACAAUUGAAUGGGUUUCAUAAUAAUCAAUGAGAGGACUUUAUACAUAGCUUUACAUAUGAUCUAAUCAAAAGGUAUAACCUUCAAUUGCAAGUAAAGUACAUGACAUGAAGUAAACUCGAUGAUAAACCACUCCUUAAAGAUUCCAAUGAAGCUCUCAAGUGACGUCUCAAUGUGCACUCCAUGCAAUCCAAGCUAAGUGUCAUGACGAGUACCUAAAAGGAUAGGGUGAGCUACACUAGCUCGUAAAGAUAUCCAUACCUAAAUUAUAUGCAUAAGUGAAGACAGAUAUCAAGGAAAAACAUUUUUUAAAAGCAUAUUGGUUUUAUCAAAAGUGAAACUCAAAAUACCAUACUCAUGUUGGGAAGUAUUUAACUCCAUUUCUCAAACACUGACACUCUCACCUACACACACAAAUAUUCUUGAAAUCUCAGCUCACCGUUACGGCGUUACCCAAAUCAAUCCUUGCUUUUUCAUUUCCAUUUCAGAGACCUAAAGGUUAAUCUAAGUUCUUUAAUGGAAGAAUCAUUUUUCUUGUCUCAAAUAACGAGCCAACCUCUCACCAAAAAUACACACACUAUGCAUAGUUAGAGUACGAAAUAACAAUGACACAUAGAAUAGUAGUGCACCUCGGCAAUAAGGAAACUCACCCGUAAAUCCCAAAUCUUUCAUACACCACAACUCCAUGUUUUAAGGUAAACAAAAUAUAACAACUCUCGUAGAGAAUAAACAUAACUCCUUUGAAUUUCCUCAUAAGUUACCAAUAACGUCAUCGGUGUUCCACAUUAAUUGCUCCUCCUUCAAAAUCGUCUCUCAUUCUCAAACUCUCAUUUAUGUUCUCGUGAGCAAAUGCUCCUGCCGGGCGUUAUGGGACCCGCUUCCCCUGCCCUAGCACCACACCCGUUGGUGGGCCUAGUCUGUAUCAUGUGCGAGUGCUCCUGCCGGGCGUUAUGGGACCCGCUUCCACUACCCUAGCACCACACCCGUUGGUGGGCCUAGUUUGUGUCAUGAGCGAAUGCUCCUGCCGGGCGUUAUGGGACCCGCUUCCCUUUUCUUGUUUUAAAAUACACACACACACACACACACACACACACACACACACACACAUAUAUAUAUAUAUAUAUAUAUAUCUCCUUAGCUAACCGUUUCACAUCACACUUCCCACAAUUCUCAUCGUUAAUCUCGUCACCAACCAUUUACUCUAGUAUCAAGUAUUAACUAAUUGAUCACAAACUCAACAUCAUGCAAGUAGCUACGAACGACUUCACCUUCCAAUUCAUAGUUCAAGAGGAAAUUAAUAGUUGUAACUCGCAUUUUCAUUUCAUAAAUAUAAUCAAUCAUCAUCAUUCAAGUAUUCCCAAUCCAACAUUAAUAAACAACCAACCAUCUCAACCUUAUACUUUCACUAGGUGUCGACAAACAUUUCCCAAGUAUGAUAGCUAACUACCCUGAGGCUCGGUAGACCAUUCAAAUAGUCAAACGCACAUUUGUGUCUCACUCAAAUGAUUCUAAGGGCAAAGGAUGCCCAAUGCAUAUAACGUAUCUACCUCGAACACUUAGGAGCGUACCAAAUCACCCGUAAUAUUCAAAUACGACAUAACCUCCAAAAUCGGUAUGGAUUCUAACAACCAACCUACCGUACUUUAACUAUAACUUCUUAUAGAUUUAGAAUUUGAUUAUAAGACUACCACCAUUAGAAAGUAGAUUUCCAUACAUCAACUUCGAUAUAUAACAUGACCAAAACGGAGUCCGGAUGAUAAAGUUAUGAUCGUCCGAUGUUUUCAAAAAAAGCAGAUUUUUCGUUCCCUACCGGUAGGACACAACCUCCUACCGGUAGAAGACCAGAAUUUCACAAAAAUAAACACUACUGGACAGCAUUUCAACCAGUAGGGCCAAAACUCCUACCGGUAGGACUUGGGUUUUCAGCGUACGAUUUCUAGUUUCGACAGAUUUCUCUCAACAACAAAUACGGACGUUUAAACAUUCUAAACACAUCAAACCAACUCAUAAAUACAUAAAAGAGGAGCGAAAUCCCUACAUGUCAAAUUGGCGAAGUUAAUCAUUCACAUUAGACUAUAUCCAAUCAAACAACAUGAAUUCCAGGACGGGAACAAGUAAAACUGAUUGAAAAAUCAUAACCCUUUUAUCUUAAACCCAAAAAUAUUGAAACCAACGCCAAAAGUUGCACAACUACAAGCCCUACGCUCAGUAAAAAUCCCAGGUUCAAAAACGAGCGGAGAUUAACCCAACAAUCAAAGGAAAAACAGUUUCGCAACCAUUUUCGCCCUAGUCGACCAACCUACUUUAGAAAUUCACCAAAAAUUGUAUACUUAACCGAAUCACUUGAUUCCAACGCCAAUCCUUCUUAACUUAAAUAUGCAGCUCCUGUAAAAGACCCAAAGCCACCAAAUUGUUCAUCAUGCCCAGAAAAUUAAAAGAAGACAGCCACGCACAGAUUCGCGUAUCCAGGAAACAGCCGGUAUUCAAAAAUUCAUAACUAAUUGUGUGAUUAUCGGUUUUUCAUGAUCUUGGUACCGAAAUCUUCGUAUUGAAACGUACUUUAACUGUUAUGAAGACUCCAAAAAUUGAUUCCUAGCAGAAGGGCUCCCAAAAGACAGAUUUCCAAAACCCACGAAAAUUUCAGCAUACACUAGAUUUAUUCAAGACUCGAAAUAGAUGAACAAACUUGAUUCUUGUACAUCAAACUAACACUUAAACAUGUAAAGAAGGCAGGAGAUCCCUACCUCAAAGGUUGAAGUUAAAACCCCAAGAAUCUCCAGGCAAAACCUCUCCCGAAAACACCUCCUCCAAGCUUUUCAACGCAAUCAAAGGCUAGAACUCGACUGGAAUCAGAACUUGGGUUUUCGCCACUCAUUUCCCUCAAGGCUAAAGUUUGGUUUGAACAAAUUGCCGGUAUUUUGGUGCUAAAAGUUGGCCAGUUCUAGCUUUAUGGUACGCACUGUUGUUGUCAAUUUUCUCGAGCUUGAUAGCAUUGUUUGACAACGGUAAGCGAUUAGAGUGCACUGUGUUGAACCAUACAAGUGUGAGACAGGUGAAGGGUGACUACUUCGAUGCUCAAUUUGCUGAUGAAGAUUCUCGACUGCAACUGAUGCCUUUUUUGUUUGAGUAAGAUUUGAAUGAAUAUGAAAGGUACUGGCUAGUUACAUUUUUGUGUCAUGUUGUUAAUAUAUUUUUUGACAAAAUAGUUUUUAUUUGUUUUUUUUGUUGGCAUUGGGUUACAUAAAUCCGGUUUGUUGUAAUGUUCACAUUUGACUUAUGGAACAAGUCACCAGAUUUCAUCUGUAGUUGCCUAGCUGGAGUCUUCCCGUUUCAAUGUGACGACAUGAGAUGAAAUAUUUCAAAAGA
This is a long non-coding RNA of Rhododendron vialii, 4569 nucleotides long. RefSeq lists it as uncharacterized. The record is from RefSeq and is a predicted model, not a curated record. Lineage: Eukaryota; Viridiplantae; Streptophyta; Magnoliopsida; Ericales; Ericaceae. The transcript is spliced from 2 exons.